This 253-nucleotide ribosomal RNA is filed under the name uncultured bacterium. RNAcentral describes it as "partial 16S ribosomal RNA". It matches the Rfam family "Bacterial small subunit ribosomal RNA", at positions 524 to 776 of the family's 1533-position model. The record is from RNAcentral.
GACAGAGGGUGCAAACGUUGUUCGGAAUUACUGGGCAUAAAGCGCACGUAGGUGGUCCGCUAAGUCGCGUGUGAAAUCCCCCGGCUCAACCGGGGAAUUGCGCGCGAUACUGGCGGGCUAGAGUCCGGAAGAGGCGAGUGGAAUUCCUGGUGUAGCGGUGAAAUGCGCAGAUAUCAGGAGGAACACCAAUGGCGAAGGCAGCUCGCUGGGACGGUACUGACGCUGAGGCGCGAAAGCGUGGGGAGCGAACAGG